RNAcentral lists this non-coding RNA (38 nucleotides) under unclassified sequences. RNAcentral describes it as "THF-II sequence". It matches the Rfam family "THF-II riboswitch (folE RNA)". The record is from RNAcentral.
CCGUUCAACUCGUUUCCCCUUGAGGGAAACUACGGGAG